Molecule: long non-coding RNA, 414 nt
Organism: Sipha flava (yellow sugarcane aphid)
Lineage: Eukaryota; Metazoa; Arthropoda; Insecta; Hemiptera; Aphididae
Exons: 3
Source: RefSeq, a predicted model, not a curated record
UAACUCGUGCAAUCACACCACUCGGUCGCCAUACUACGGCCGGUAUAAAUACGAGCCCGCGAGUUCGGCUGAGGCGUAACACACGUCAACUUGUGCAGACAUAUUCUUCGUUUUUUCACCUCCGUUCCGCGAAAACCGACCGAAAACCGAAAAUGGGCGCUGAAAAGGUAUCCAUGAACAUCAUCAUCAUCGGACAAGUCCAUUCCGCCAAGGCCGUCAAGACAAACGUCAGCAAAGCCACCCCGGCCACCGGUCAAUCGAUAAACUGUUAAUGACUCGUGUAAUCAACACAUAAUCAGAAACUCAAAAAUGCCAUAGCCAAAACAAUACAAAACGUUGUAACUAUAUCAUAGUAGUGUACUACAUUAUGUAUUGACAUCGCAAAAAUAAAUCGGUUCAUACGUUUUCAACCUA